GCAGCUUUAGCUCACUUGGGAGAGCGCCAGACUGAAGUCUAACUUUGGCCUAAAUCAUCUGUGCGGUGUAUCUGGAGGCACUGUGUUCGAUCCACAGAAGCUGCA
Molecule: non-coding RNA, 105 nt
Organism: Coniosporium tulheliwenetii
Lineage: Eukaryota; Fungi; Ascomycota; Dothideomycetes
Source: the annotation of a GenBank genome assembly